RNAcentral lists this long non-coding RNA (1053 nucleotides) under Anas platyrhynchos (mallard). RNAcentral's name for it is "lncRNA (ENSAPLG00020013187.1)". Lineage: Eukaryota; Metazoa; Chordata; Aves; Anseriformes; Anatidae. The record is from RNAcentral.
CACAUGCAGGUGGCCUGGACCUAGGUCUCUAAGCUGUGUGCUGGGGUGACCCUUCUCACCAGGCUGUGGUGGCCCUCCCCAGGACAAGGUGGAGGUACUGAGGCUUCCUUUUGCCCAGUGUGGGGUGGAGCUUGACUCAGCAUGCUCAUUUGAUGUUGGCUCCUUGGUUUUCCUCUUUUUUCCAGUGAAAUCCUUCUAAUGAAUUUUGCUCAUUCCUCUACUUUGUAGUUUUUUCUUCUCGAGCAGCCUGUGUCAGAAAGUAGUUUGUGGUGAGGAAAGCACUUCCUGUGUUGCUUGAUCAUCUUCAUGGUUCUCCUUUCCCCUCGGCACUGUUCAGAGGUACAACAGCCGAGAAGAGCAUUUGAAGAGCAAACUUCAGAUUUCUCUAAUUGCUCUUCACAGAAGGGGCAGCUGAAGGAGAAGCUCAUGGCAGAAGACAACGGUGCUCGGCAAAAGAACAAGAUAAAGCACAGUACUUCACCAGGGGAGGCACACUUCAGCACGAGCCAGUUAUGUGCAGCACUGAAGGCUUCUGACCUGAGCAAAGCCAACCCUCUCCAACUGGUGCUCAAACCCAUCUGGCUGCCACCAGAGAACUGGCAGCUGUGGAGAUGCAGCUUGGUGUCCCAAAUGCUCAUCUGAGCUAACCUUUACUUUGUGUUCUGCCAUAUUAAGGGGUUUGGCAGGGAAUCCUCCCGAUGCUGUGUGCAGGUGUGUGCUCACAGUAAGGACCUCUGGGGGUGUGCUGGCUUUUGUGCCAAGACCACGACCAGCAGGUUAGCACGCAGCAGCAGCAGGGGUUCGCCCCAGGCUGAAAUCUGGUGCGUGAAAUUCCUGCCCUGCUUCCCCCUCCCCUGUCUGCAGAGAGUGGCCACAUGAUGGAUUCGUACAUUGGAAUCAACCAAAGGUUUCACAGUUAACUUUUGUUGCUGCUCAUUUUUUAGGAGCCACAGGCUCCUUUAAACGCUCCCUCCCUGUAGAUCACUCUCCUGCAUUCCUUGGAGACCUCAGGCACUUAGGGAGGCGAUUUACAUGUGGCUGUUUAACACCAGC